Molecule: non-coding RNA, 472 nt
Organism: Malus domestica (apple)
Lineage: Eukaryota; Viridiplantae; Streptophyta; Magnoliopsida; Rosales; Rosaceae
Source: RefSeq, a predicted model, not a curated record
AGCCCGUCCCGGAAUUUUUAAUUCCAAGGACGUGAAAUUACGAAAAUGCCCCUAAUACGUGACUAAGGUAUAAUUUUUACGUUCGUUAUAUCUAAGCUCCUAAAAUUUGGUAAGUAGAGUGGAGACUUAGAUUUAAAUUUAUGUUAGAAUUUUGUAGUUGGGGAUUGGGUAGGAUCUCACACCCCUUAAUUCUUUCCCUCUUUCCCGUACCCUUUCUCUCUCUCUUCCUCUCCGACGCUCAACCUCACCCAAAACCACCUAAAACAUAAACAAACGUCCAAGGUAAGACCACAUUUGGACUCCUGGAACUUCCACGAUCACGUAGACAUCAAUUUCAGGGAAAUCUAAGCUCACAGGGAGCUCUAGGAGGUUCCCACGAAGCUCGGAGUGCUUCGUUGGAAGUUUUUGGACGAAAGAACACGGAGAUCGACGAGUUCAAAGUUUGGCCGGAGCUUUCGAGGCAUUUUCCGAC